Molecule: ribosomal RNA, 468 nt
Filed under: uncultured bacterium
Lineage: Bacteria
Description: partial 16S ribosomal RNA
Rfam family: Bacterial small subunit ribosomal RNA
Source: RNAcentral
GACGAACGCUGGCGGCGUGCUUAACACAUGCAAGUCGAACGGAAAGGCCCUGCUUUUGUGGGGUGCUCGAGUGGCGAACGGGUGAGUAACACGUGAGUAACCUGCCCUUGACUUUGGGAUAACUUCAGGAAACUGGGGCUAAUACCGGAUAGGAGCUCCUGCUGCAUGGUGGGGGUUGGAAAGUUUCGGCGGUUGGGGAUGGACUCGCGGCUUAUCAGCUUGUUGGUGGGGUAGUGGCUUACCAAGGCUUUGACGGGUAGCCGGCCUGGGAGGGUGACCGGCCACAUUGGGACUGAGAUACGGCCCAGACUCCUACGGGAGGCAGCAGUGGGGAAUAUUGCACAAUAGGCGGAAGCCUGAUACAGCAACGCCGCGUGCGGGAUGACGGCCUUCGAGUUAUAAACCGCUUUCGCCUGUGACGAAGCGUGAUUGACGGUAAUGGGUAAAGAAGCACCGGCUAACUACGUG